AACGCACCUUGCACCUUAUGAGCAAUCGUAAGGUAUACCUGUUUGAGAAUCGUAAAAAACCAUCUCUCCCUUUGGGGAGGGGAUUUGCUGGACUUAUCCUCCGGUUAAAAGUAUUAGGUUUGGAUCAGGCUAGUGGCCUGGGACAUUGUGUGCUAGAGACGAGAGUCUUCUCACAGUGCGUCCUGGGUCAUCAAAGCUAGCCUGUGGUAGAGCCUUUAACAGCGCAAAGGGCUUUAAUCUCUUCGGGGGUUGAGGUUCCUUUGGCUACUUUUCUCUUUGAUCUCAAAUCAGGUAAGGCUACCCGCUGAACUUAA
This 314-nucleotide unclassified non-coding RNA is filed under the name uncultured fungus. Its description in RNAcentral is "sequence contains ITS2". The record is from RNAcentral. Lineage: Eukaryota; Fungi.